CACGUAGGGCGCAAGCGUUGUCCGGAAUUAUUGGGCGUAAAGAGCUCGUAGGCGGUCUGUUGCGUCCGCUGUGAAAACUCGGGGCUUAACCCCGAGCCUGCAGUGGAUACGGGCAGACUAGAGGUAGGUAGGGGAGAAUGGAAUUCCCGGUGUAGCGGUGAAAUGCGCAGAUAUCAGGAGGAACACCGGUGGCGAAGGCGGGUCUCUGGGCCAUAACUGACGCUGAGGAGCGAAAGCGUGGGGAGCGAACAGG
This 253-nucleotide ribosomal RNA is filed under the name uncultured bacterium. RNAcentral describes it as "partial 16S ribosomal RNA". It matches the Rfam family "Bacterial small subunit ribosomal RNA", at positions 524 to 776 of the family's 1533-position model. The record is from RNAcentral.